UGGGAUAACAAAGGAGCAGCCUAUGGGCCACCGUUUCGGCUUUUGUUGGUAUUUAGAAGUCCAUUGGAGAUUAUGGGGUCGUGUGACAAGCGGUUGGGCGUGUUGCUUUUGGUCUUUACGGCCAAGGCGCCGCCCGUCGCCCCCGGAAAAGAUUUUUGUGCGCCGGCGUCGCAUGCGAGACUUCGGUCCCGUAUCGUCCCGCGUACGCCUUUUUCGGCUCGCGGCAUCCAGGAAUGAAGGAGGGUAGUCCGGGGGAGAACGUAUUGGUGCGUCAGAGGUGAAAUUCUUAGACCGCACCAGGACGGACUACAGCGAAGGCAUUCUUCAAGAAUACCUUCCUCAAUCAAGAACCAAAGUGUGGGGAUCAAAGAUGAUUAGAGACCAUUGUAGUCCACACUGCAAACGAUGACACCCAUGAAUUGGGGAGUUUUUGGUCGCAGGCAGGAAAAACCGGUGAUAUCGGGUUCGUCCCAUAUCUCCUUUUCUCCUUGCCUCGCCAAUAAUAUCAAAUUUACGUGCAUAUUCUUUUAGGCCCUUUUCCUCCUUUGUGGGGAGGGGUUUUGACGGGAAUAUCCUCAGCACGUUACUUGACUUCUUCACGCGAAAGCUUUGAGGUUACAG
This 621-nucleotide ribosomal RNA is filed under the name Trypanosoma sp. P63. Its description in RNAcentral is "SSU rRNA". The stretch from base 1 to 436 matches the Rfam family "Eukaryotic small subunit ribosomal RNA", at positions 810 to 1112 of the family's 1831-position model. RNAcentral also lists the same sequence under 1 other name. The record is from RNAcentral. Lineage: Eukaryota; Euglenozoa; Kinetoplastea; Trypanosomatida; Trypanosomatidae.